This 253-nucleotide ribosomal RNA is filed under the name uncultured bacterium. RNAcentral describes it as "partial 16S ribosomal RNA". It matches the Rfam family "Bacterial small subunit ribosomal RNA", at positions 524 to 776 of the family's 1533-position model. The record is from RNAcentral.
UACGUAGGGUGCGAGCGUUAAUCGGAAUUACUGGGCGUAAAGCGUGCGCAGGCGGUUUUGUAAGCCAGAUGUGAAAUCCCCGGGCUUAACCUGGGAAUGGCAUUUGGGACUGCAAGGCUGGAGUGUGGCAGAGGAGACUGGAAUUCCCGGUGUAGCAGUGAAAUGCGUAGAUAUCGGGAGGAAUACCGAUGGCGAAGGCAGGUCUCUGGGCUGACACUGACGCUCAUGCACGAAAGCGUGGGGAGCGAACAGG